RNAcentral lists this long non-coding RNA (30999 nucleotides) under Malus domestica (apple). RNAcentral's name for it is "long non-coding RNA (MDOM_LNC003658)". The record is from RNAcentral. Lineage: Eukaryota; Viridiplantae; Streptophyta; Magnoliopsida; Rosales; Rosaceae.
GAUGUCAAUGAAAUCCAAGUUGUUAAAUUGAUUAAGGGCAUAUUCAGCUAGGGUGUUUGGUGGUUGACCAUAGCCUUGGCAUUGGAGGACACCCCCACAAUCACCCGUUUGGCAUUUGCCACGUCCUGCUCCAUCGAAGUUGCAUCCCGUCCGGCCCCAAAUGCGAGCCCCUUUGGUACCAGCACUCACAUCUAAGGCCCAGGAUUGGCCUUUGCCGAGCUGGCGGCCACCGCCUGGCACAGCAGCUGCCCAUACAGUGUAGGCACAGUUGUUUUGGAUGUCAAAUCGAGCUGCAUUGGUUGAUGCAAAGAAGAGAAUGGCACAUAGGAUGGAGAAAACUAAGAGGCUUUUAAGGAGGCUCAUUGUGGGAGCUAAGCUUUACCAAAAUUUGUAGUUUUGUAUGGUUGUGUUUUGAAUUCUAAGGUGGCUCAUGAAGUUAUAUAGAGCAUUCGUAGUACUUAUGUUCGUCAUCAAAUGACGUUAGUUUAUUAGCUCAACAUUUCCGCCUAGGCCCACCGCGUCAAGUUUCCACAAGAAAAAAGUGAGAGACUUUUCCAAUAAAUGAUAAAUAUCUCCAAUUUUCUCUUUUUAUACUAUAUCUUUUUAGUAUUACUUUUUAUUGAAUAAAUCAAAGAAGAAGUUAUGUAUAAAAAUUUGUAAAAAAUGUGUACGAAAAAAAAAAGUGAAUUUUUUUCUCACCAUUGCACAAAUGGUGGUAAUCGUUUCUAUCAUACUUAUUAUUAUUAGAUGAAUUUUAAUAUUUAGAUUUAUAUUUAUCUAUUACAUAAAUUUCAAAAUUUAAAUUCAUAUAAUCGUAGAAUUGUGACUAUCAUCAUCACUUGAGGGCAGUGCAAAAAAUAUUUCUUUUGUUUUGGUAAACUAAAUCAGUGAAACACGAGAACUUAAUUGUGCAAUAGUUGCUUAGAUGAAAAUGCUACUACAGUAAUGAGGAAUCACUAGAAACAGAUUUUUCCAAAAUCAAAGCGUAAAAUGUAGCCAAACCUACCCAGUUUGUAAACAGUUGGAAUAUAUACGCCUAUUCUUUACAGAUUACAGAGAAUUAAAUUAAAUUAUUAUUUAUAGGGUUCUAAGUUCAAAUUAUUAGUUUGAAUUACAAUAUUUUUAUAUGAAGGUGAUUGGGAAUCAGCUUUUCCGAGUUGUUGAAGAUGGUACUGAUUAGAAUUGGUGGUUUCUUAACUUUCAGCCAUCGCUGAGAAUCCAAUCACCCUCUUCUUAAUUAGUUCUAGGCUUGGAGUAAUGGGGUUUAGUUAUAAAUUACUAGGCAUACAACAUUGAGUGGUACGGAUCUCUCAAUUGACGAGCUCCGGCCACAGAGGUCUCGAGUGGAUCUCCUUCCACCUAGGCAAACAACAUUGGUGACUACCACGUACCACGAUGGAUAGCCACAGAAAAGUCUCAACGAGCAGAAAUUAAAUCUAAGCAUCAGGCUAGCCACACAAUAUUAUUUCACUUCACGUGGAUACAGAUUUGAUCUACUCUACCAUUAUUGCCGGACCUUAUAAUACUACCAAGUCAAGCCUAAUUUGGUCCAAAGUGAUAUAUCAAUGCCAUAGGAAAAAGUUUGUCAACAGAAGUUUGGCAAAUAGCCUAAUCAAAUGGUAUAUUUCUAUGGUAGAUGCUUUGGCAUUAGCCUAAUCAAAUGGUAAAAUCUAUGGUAGAAGAAGAUGAUUGAUAGUUGUGGAGUCAAAAAUAAUUAAGAGGCGACACGUGGAUUUUUGGGUUAAAAUGACAAAAUUACCCUCGAGGCAUACCGGAAUCCUUACACGCGAGCAAUAGAUAAUCAUCCCUUGAUCAAGUCAAAAGUGCCCAAAUAGGUAUUUAUUUAUAACUUAUUUCAUCCAUCCCUCAUCCUAUCUUCUCCACAAGGUAACCCCUAAAUCAUUCAUUUUUUAUUAUAUUAAUUAGCUAAUUAAUUGAUUAAUUAUUCAAUUAAUUUGCUAAUUAAACACAAAUCAUAAACUUGACCCACAAAUCCAUCCAAGUGGCCGGUCCAUCUCCUCCCAAGGUGGCCAGCCACACCUGAUGCGAUGAAAGUUAAGGACUCAAAUUAAACCCUCUUUUGACAAUUUUAGUAUAUGUAUAAGUAGGGAUCAUUCUUAAACCGAGGAUUAGGAGAGCUUGCUAAAACCUCUAAACUUACUUAAAAACAUAAAAAUAAAUUAAAAACGUUUGAAUAGACUCAAGGGACUCAAAACAGAUUCUAAAGACUCAAAACUGCCUAAAAACAAAAACUAGGCAGUUUCUGACUCUAACACAACUUUGGACGAAAUUUGGUUUUUUUGACUUGACUCAAAACACUCUAAAACACAAACAAAACAGAUUUUAACACUUUGAAACAAGAAAGUAAAAGGGAGAUUUUAGUUUUGAUGAAUUUGAAACAAACAAACAACUUAUAAAAUUAGACAGAUUGUAAAACGAAUUUAAGAAAUGAGAUGAUGGAUGGAUUAGUUAGAGGUCCGUUCUUCACACAUGACACACUUGGAUAUGAAUCGAUUUCCAAUUGCUUUUCAAUUAACUAUGAUGCUCAAACCCCAAAUUAACCGUGAUGCACAAAUUAACCCUCAGAUUUUCCUUUACUCAUUGAGUUGGAUGAAUGCAUGCAACAACCCAAAUCAUUCUCUAAAAGUCCCCUAUAUGAAUGCAUAAUAGAGAUACAAUCAGAGAUCAUUACGGUCAAUGAAAAUCAUAAGUGUUGACGAGGCAAUUAUAACUAUGAAUGCAUGAUACAUUUGCCAAGAAUUCAAUUAACGCGAUUGUGAUAAACAACCUUCACUACUCAUGAAUAUAAACUUGUAAUGAUUAGGUGAAACUCAUUUAUAUUCUAGCAUCUAAUUCAUGCAUGAAAACUAAGUAUGCAUCCUUAAUAAACAUACAAGAAUUAGUUAUGAAUAAAAUAGAUAAUUGAAUUGCAAUCACAACUUAUCAAAUCACAAUUGGAGGAAAUCAAUUCAAAUCUCAAGCAUGUUCAUGGCUUCAAACUUCCCCCUAACUAAAUAGCGGUUUAGCCACUCAUAAUUGCAACAAAAUUAGAAAAUAAUAAAGUAGACAUUGAAAGCAAGAACGAAGUACACCUAAAAUGCUCCAAAGUUCCAAGCUUGAAACGCCAAGGACCUUUGUUUUCACCACCUUGUUGUAGCACAAGUGUCUAGGAUGUGUAUGGAUAUAUGGAUGGAAUGGAUUUGCACGGCUAAGAGAUGAAAGUGUAUGGAUUGGUGAGAUGUAGUAUUGCUAGAUGAAUGGAUGGAGGUCACUACAAGGAAAUUGUGUUUGUGAAUGAAAUGAAGCUCUUUUGAUGGAUCAAGAUUGUACCCCUUUGGAAGAGGGGUGGUGGAUGUAUUUAUAGGCUAGGGAGAGGACCACUCCAUUUCCUUUGCAUGUGCAGAUUGCAUGGGUGUGUGAUGUCCAUGUUUCUCCUUUCCUUUUGCACACACAUGCUUCAUCAUUUCAGCCACCAAUCCACCCAUUUUCUGCCCAUGUUUCUCCUUUCCUUUGCAUGUGGGUGUGUCUUCUCUUUCUAGCUGUGCAUUUCCACUUGCUCCAAAGCCAAAUGAGUGCAAUCAUAACCCCAUUUGCUGCUGAGUGUUGAUGACAAAGCAAAACACAAAACAAGUGCCUUUACUUUCUCAUUUUAUUAGCCAAAUCUGCUUAGCCCUUUUCUGAACCUUUCAGUGUUACAAUGCCCAUAACUUCUUCUAGAAAAAUGAUAUUACCAAUCCGUAAAUUUCUCAAGAAAAUAGACAUCUGUAGCUUUCCAAGCAUAUAAGGCUCAUUCUCUCAUUCAUUCGGAGCUGUUCGUAACAUGCUUCCAAAGUCAGCUAAUCUGCACAGGCAGUUUUGACGAAUUUGUUGGCUGUCCAUGUUUCUCUUUUGCAUAUGCCUUGUAUAAUGUUGUCUCCAUGUUCUUGUGGCAGAAAUGUUAAGUAAUGAUGAAGGGUUGCUACUGCACAAGUGUGAAAGAUGGUGCUCAAGGCCUCUUUGCAUGUGUGUGUAUGUCCAUGUAAUCAUCAUUUCCACAUCUUCAUUCUUCAUUUUCUGAUUUCCUGCUGCCCAUGCCGUGUGUUUCCUUGCAUUCCCAUGUGUGUGUGCUGCCAUCUAGUCAUCAUUUCCACAUGUACAAGCUGUCACACUUGCACACACACAUGCUCUUCAUUAUUUCAGCCACAAUUCAACUCACUUUCUCUCCAUGCCGUGUGUGUGUUGUCUUUGCAUGUGGGUGUCUUUGCAUGUACCUUGCAUGAUGUUGUCUCCAUCACAUGGCAGCUAUGAUGUUUGUUAGUUGUAGGUCACACACUUACACACAUAUGCUAAAUUCUAAUCUUCCCAAAACGUCCAUCCUCAUGUCUCCAAGUGCAUGCAAUCCAUUUCAUCCCAAAAUUGCUCUAAAAUGCACCAAAAUGCACUUUUCUUGCCAUCUUUGUUAUUAGGACCUACAAACAUACGAAAAUGGUUUAAAACACUCUUAUAAGCAAUAACUAACUAAGUAAGUGUAAGAAAACAUGUUAACUAAGUCGCAUAAAUAUGCUCCUAUCAACACCCCUAUAUAAACACCCUCAUUCUCUCCGAAACUCAAUUCCAAUUCUCUUGCUAAAUUCUUUAAAUUCUCCAAACAAUUUUCCAUCAAAAUUCUAACUUUAGGAUCGGAGGUUCUUUGGACAAAGCCCCCACCCCCACCCCCCCCCAAAAAAAAAAAUCAUCGUGUGCACGUGAGGCUCUUGGCAUUGACGUAAUGUGUUAUUUGUUUUGUAGGUGCAAUUUUGUCCAAGAACAAGGAGGAAGAAAUUUGCAUACACAAAUUGGUGCUUUCAUUGAGAGCUGGGUCACACGCUCGUAGAAGACUCUCGCAUCUAAGGUUUUUUGUUCCUUUGCUUAUUUGUAGAUUUUUCGUACGUUCUUCUUCUUGGAAUUUUUUUUUCUAAAAAUUCUUUGAUAAAACGUAAAAAAAAAAGUACAAUGGCAAGAGAUUUGGAAACCUCAACAAACAGAAAUUCCAACAUUCAAAGAUCAGGACCACGACGAUCUACAAGGCUCAACAUAGCAGUGAGCGAAGCGGCACCCCCACGACGCACCACCGUGGCAACCACCUUUGCCACUUCAACCGUCGAGGGCCCAAGCCUUAGCCUCGCACCCAUGGGUGCCACACUCCGAUCAGCCCACUCCCAUGGGCCAACCUGCUUCCGCGGCCCAGCUUGCUCCCGUGGCCCAGUCUGCUCCCACAACCCAGCAUGCUCCUGUGGCCUUCCAAGCAACCCGAAGUAGGACAAUGGUAGAUGAAGAACCUCUCCAACAGCGUCUUGGAAAUUAGCCACUGGACCAGUCACGAACCGAGCAUUUGGGCAGUGUACACUCCUAAUUGGGCCCCCGAGAUAACGUAUACUCCCGUUUUAGCUCGCGGAGGAGCGUGCACUCUCGACUAGGCCCACAGACGAGCAUAUACUCACGGUUGGAGCCACACUCCGAUAAUCAACAUAAAUAGCCUUCCAAGCGAAGCGUUCAUUUACGACUAAGCCCGCAAGGAGAAUCAUCCACAUCAUAUCAAAGUAGGCAGCACGACGGAUUGAGAGAAACAGUCACUCAAUUAGGCUUAAGCUUAACCAGCAGCCUAUAAAGAAUUCCCUCGCCUGCUAAGAACGAACCACAUGCACCGCAGCCGCAGCAUAGAUGAGCCGAGCACGUAGAAGAGUAGCAUAGGCCAAUAGGUCACGACUGAGGGCAGCCGAGAGCUCUGCUACCCUAAUAAAGGAAAAUUCAUGAAGAAGUAGAAAGGCUCUUGACCGAGUGAUUGCACGAUUUCCAAUAAGCACUAUGAUGGGACAUGACCAAUUACCCUUCACGGAAUAGAUCGAGCAGGCAGAGCCUCCACACAAGUUUAGCAUGCCACAUUUCACAUCCUUAAAAGGAGAUGGAAACCCGGGGAAACACUUGAAGCACUACCGAAGUGCAAUGAUUGUUUAUCAAAACAAUGACGAUCUCAUAUGCAAGAUAUUCACUAUCACUUUACAAGGCAAGGCGGAAUAUUGGUUCUACGCCCUGCCGCCAUAAUCCAUUUGGAGUUUCGACGAAUUUUCUUUGGUUUUCAUCAAAGAAUAUUCAUCCUAUUGCUCGAUCAAGAAAAAGUCCUACCACUUGUUCAACAUUGAGAAGAACCCAAAGGAGUCGCUUCGUGACUAUAUGAAGAGGUUCAAAGCAAAAAAGGUAAAGAUAGUCUGAUGCAACAACCCGAUAGCUAAAACAGCCUUCCAAAAAGGACUCAUAACAAACCACCCGAUGUUCAAAGAAUUGAUCAUGAAAUAAGGUCUAACUCUGGCAUAAUCUUUCGCUCUAGCAGAGAAGCAUGCACUUUGGGAUGAAGUUUUCCGAUGCACAUUCACGGCAAAUCUGAGCGAUCUUGAAUACGAAGUUCCCCACUACUCUGAAGGAGAUUCAAGGUCUGACUAGACGAGCAGCCAUAUCUGAAGCAAAAGUCCUACCACUUGUUCAACAUCGAGAAGAACCCAAAGGAGUCGCUUCAUGACUAUGUGAAGAGGUUCAAAGCAGAAAAGGUAAAGAUAGUCUGAUGCAACAACUCGAUAACUAAAACAGCCUUCCAAAAAGGACUCAUAACAAACCACCCGAUGUUCAAAGAAUUGAUCAUGAAAUAAGGUCUAACUCUGGCAGAAUCUUUCGCUCUAGCAGAGAAGCAUGCACUUUAGGAUGAAGUUUUCCGAUGCACAUUCAAGGCAAAUCCGAGCGAUCUUGAAUACGAAGUUCCCCACUACUCUGAAGGAGAUUCAAGGUCUGACUAGACGAGCAGCCAUAUCUGAAGCAACAAUAAGCUCUACCCUCAUACGAGAAAAGUUAGGGGCCCAACUACCUAUAUUCCACAAUUCAAAAGCUCUCCUCAAUGUAGAAACCAGCUACCAGAAAUUCAAAAGCUAACUUUGGUGACAAUUGUUGCAACCCGGAAGCUCAAGUUAUACCUUUAGAAACACGCAAUCAUCCUCGACGCACUAUUCUGCCAAAUCCAGACGUACGAUGAUAAAGGCAUAGACACUGCCGAAUGCAAAGUUUUCUGACGAGUGUAACAACUCAGCCCAAAAGGCACGCAAGAGCAAACAAACGCUAGAAAGACGUACUCAAAAGCAAGUUUUGUCCUCAUCACCCCAAAAGAUUAUACAUAAGAGCAACAUGUACCGGCAGUUGAACACCAAUUCCUGCUACGUGUCACUCGACCUUAACCGACCCUUGCUCCAUAAUUCAACCCUAGAGUGUCUUAAUAUUGGCAGUUGAGCAUCUCUAGCUGCACGUAACAUAGUCGUAGCUUCAUAGCUCCUUACCAUGCCUUCAUAAAGUAACAAGGCGACCCAAUGAUGGCUCUACGGCUCCUUACCGCACCUUCACGCCUAGCCUAGGUAACGCAAUAGAGCGGCCUAACGAUGCCUCGGAGGUAGCCAGGAACGCCCUAACAGCGCUUGCUCUACCCGAUGGAGACUUUUGGCAUAUGCCGACGGCAUAUCCAACUACAAAAGGUUCGAAAGCAGGCAUAGUCCUUGUCACCCCAGACAAUUUGAUGCUUAAGCAAGCGAUCACUCUAAGCUUUAAAGCAUCCAACAAUGAAGCAGAGUACGAGGCCUUACUAGCAGGCCUCCGAAUGGCAAAAGAUUUGGUGGUGAAAAAGCUUGCAAUUCAUUCUGAUUCCUAACUAAUCACUAGAUAGACCACUUGAGGUGUUUCAGACUUAUACCCUCAGUCAAGUUCCACAGGUAGACAACGCUCACGUGGACGCACUAACCGGCCUAGGCUCCAUCCUCGACCACCAACUUAUACGUUCUAUUCCGGUGGAGUAUCUAGACAAGCCAAGCAUAGAAGCGGAGCCAGCAGCAAAGGUGUCAUAGGUUAGUACAACUCCAAACUGACAAGAUUCCAUUAUAGACUACUUAGUCAAUGGCAUACUCCCCAUGGAAAGAUUGGAGUCUAGAAAGCUCCAAAUAAAGGCAGCACACUACUACAUAUGGAAUGGCAUUCUCAUCCAAAGAUCCUAUGUUGGACCACAUCUCUGCUGCCUAGCGCUUCCCGACAACCUAAAGGCACUAAGCUCAAGGUUAUGGAAAUCACUCCAAAGGCCAAUCAUUAGCAUAGAAGGCUCUAAACGCAGGCUACUACUGACCUACCAUGCACCAAAAUACUAAGGAGUUAGUAUAAAAGUACGACCGCUGCCAAUGCUAUAAGUUGGUACCAGCACUGCCUGCUAGCAAAUUAUACCCGCAGACGAGUCUUUGGCCGUGCAUGCAAUAGGCAAUCGACCUGAUAAGGCCAAUACCGCCUACUACUAGGGGCAAAGGCAUGACAAUAGUGAUAACCGAUUACUUCACCAAAUAGGUAGAAGUAAAGCCUAUGACUACCAUGACAUAGACGGACGUAGAACGCUUCAUAUGAAAGAACAUCAUUUUCCGAUUUGGCAUCCCUCAAUUCAUCAUCACAGACAAUACCUAGCAAUUUGUGGGCAAAGAUUUAGUGAAGUUCUUCCAAAACUAUGGCAUCAAGCAGCACAUGUCCACACCAAGAUAUCCUCAAGGCAAUGGGCUGAUCGAAGCAUCAAACAAGAUGAUUCUCGACUGCCUCAAGAAAUCCUUCACCAAUAAGAAAGGAAAAUGGCCAGACGAACUCCCCAGAUGUCUAUAGGCAUAUCGCACCACCAAAAGACAAACAACCAGUGAGACAAUUUUCUCUUUGGCAUUUGGCUCAUAAGCAAUCAUUCAUCCCAAUGUCAUCGUGCCAAGUAUCAACACUCUACUGCCAAGCAUUGAGCAGAAUAGUAAGGAGAUGGCAACAAGCUUAGAUUUGGCAGAGGAGAAGCGCGAGCAGACCAUCACCAGCAUCGUAGCCUACCAGCAGCAGCUCUUCUCUAGCCACAACAAAAAGGCCAAGAUCUGGCAGUUCUAGCCCUGAGAUCUAGUCCUAAGAAAAGCCUUCAUCACUGCCCAUAGAGAAGGCUCCAAAAAGAUAAAUCACAUAUGGGAAAGUCCGUACAAGAUCAGCAGAAUAUACAGCAAUAGUAGCUAUAACCCUGCCACCAUGAACGACAAAGAGAUCAAAAGUAGUGGAACGCCUACAAUCUGAGGAAGUACCAUACGUGACCUCCCACUACAUCAAAGCUCGAAGACUCAAGUAGCUCGAUGGGCACUACCUCACAAGUCGAUGACUAUAUUAUGCAGUUUCUACCUUAAAGCUAAGUUCUUGUUCAUUUCACUCGUUUUUCAAUGAGGAAUUUAAAAGCAGUUUAUAAUUGGCUCGAUUGCAUGCUUACAACAACUGAUCACUCUUGCACUUCAAAAAAAAAACCACGCCCUUCUUAGGGACUUAUCGCAGAAAUUAUGCUCCCCGAGUGACCAACCAUGCUCUCUAGUGCGAAAGGGUAAACCAAUUCCCUAACACCCAUCUAGGUUUGCUCUCCAGUGUGAGAAAAUAAACUAAUUGCUCUCCAGUGAGAGAGGGCCCGACACCCACAUGGGUCUGUUAUCCAACGCGGGAGGAUAAACUUACACUCUGAAUAUCCAAACAUGGAUGAGCCAGGCUACCCUAGUAUAACUAGGUGCAUGAUAGCUUGCACCGGGAUUCCUACAAGUAGCCACAAUGGUAUUUUUCAAGGCUUAGCUAACUGAAGGAUUUUGGGUCUUUUGGCCUAAUCCAUAGGGAACUGGGCCUUAAAGACGAAGAAGGCACAUUACCCAGAACGCCCUAUGGAUGGCUGCCCUGGAACCUUAAAGUUGUUAUCGAGUACACUAAGGUAGCCUACAGAUUCUGAAAGACCGUCUACAGCUUGCCCUUCGAGUAGUAAAGUCGCGCUAGACUUAUACAACCGCACAUUCUUGUGAAAGGUGAAAAAAGCUAGUGUGCAUAUAUGAAGCUUUAUCCAAUGCCGGUAUGUUAUGUAUUCGAUAAGCUUCACCUCUGCCAAGCACGGAACAACCUACACCAAGUCUUAAAGUGUUAUGAUACUUAUUACGCAACCUACGAAAUUGGAGAAAGCCAACGUUAACAACCUAGUGGUCACGCAGACUUGUUUGCUUCUGUAAGUAAAGGGUUUGGAUGCCGACCCUAUGGCUAAUAACUUUGCAAAAGUUCUACACCAACACAUACGGCUGCAUAGGCUAUGCGACCUAUCUGCUUAUAGAAAAGCAGCAAGGCCUGCGACUGGUCUAUAAAGUCUAAGGUUAAGGCAUGAACUAAAGAAGCGACGAUGAAGAAAAGCAAAGGAAGCAAGUUUAUUAAAUUUUCUAUCAAAAUUGAUAAACGACUAGCAAAGGCCAAAAAAGUUUAAGCAAAAUAAGAGCAACAAGGAAAACAAAGAAAAUCCUAAAGGCUACUUAGAAGACUACCCUUCAACAGCUUGGACAUCCCACGACUACUCGACCACCACACCUACAACAAUCGCAACGCUCCCAACAUCGGCAUCCUCCGACGUUUCACCGCCAACUGCUCUAGCUUGGGCAUCAACCUCUCCAACUACUUUACUAAUCGAGGCCUCAAAAGUAAAGGUAAGCAAGUCUUCUGGAGAAAUAGAGAAAGUCUCAAAACCUCGAGCCCAGCAUUCCCACCCUUCAACUGCUCGUUCUCCUCAAGCAAACCAACACGGACGUGCUGUAACUCAUCCACUUUCUUCUUCAGUCUUUCAUUGAUUUUCAGUACACCUUGAAGUUCCAACACUUGGGGUUCAAGCCUAUCGACGAAUCUCUUGAAGUGGAUCACUUGAUUAUAAGCAACAAUCAACUCUUCAUCAUUUGCAUAAGCAGCGAAACGAAGCUCAGAAACUGCAAACUCAAGAUCUUAAAUCUGAGAAGAAUAAGCUUGGGCUACCACAACCUUUGCCACCUCCUUAGCAGCCUUGGUAUCCUCUUGGUCAAGGAGUAUAGACUCGGCUGUGAGAAUUGUCGUUUUCUGCAUCAUUGCAAAUAGAGUAGUCUUCUUAUACUCGAUCGUAUACUUUGCAAAGGAACUUGGGCAAACAAUCCCUCUAACAUCAUCAAUAAAAUUAGCAUAAGUGUCCAUGUCUUCAAGCAGAUCUGGUUUUAAAAGCGCACAGAUCUCAAUAGCCUCCUCAGAAGUAGGCUUAGUGGAUUUCUCACAACUGCCCAUGCGAGCAGUCACCUCCUUCCUAUCAGGCGAAUCAGUCUCAACAGUAAAGGAAGCGGGUCUUGGAGCCAUUUUAGCAACAAAAUCCACCUUAUUGCUUUUGAUAAUAGCAAGUCUCUCCAAAGGUGAAUCAAACUUAGCUCUUAACGAACGUCUUGGUACAGACUUCGACACUGGGGGCAUAACAAGACCUCUACAAUGAGCAAUCCCAUCAGCAAUCGUACUAGUCAUUCUCGACAUGGCAGGCACCACAUGCUCAGAUCUAGCAGCCUCAUUUUUCUUCCUAUUGGAAUAAGUCAUGUCAAUCACAAGCCUCUCGGCAAUAGGCUGACCCUCACGAGCAGCAGAGGAAAUCUUCAAUUUUCUCAACCGGCAUUUCUUAAGUAGGCAAGGAAGAUCUCUUCUUUCUACCUUUAUACACAAUAGGCUCCACGAUAGCGAUCAAACCUUGAUCCUCUUUACCUUCUCUCUCGGGAGUAGCCCACCUUUCUCCUGAAGGAAAUUUUGUGAAAACAUGUCCAUUUAAGCAACAUUUAUAGCAUGCAAUUAACAAUUAAAAGGCGAAAUCAUGCUUGUAUGCACUUAAAAACAAAACAUUAACCAUGAAAUUCAAAGCCUAGUAGAUUGGUGAACCUUGACUCAACUUAAAACAACAUUUGUUAGUUGAGAAAUUAUACCUUUAUAGAUUCCUCUUUGCAUAAGCAAAGACUAAUCACCCAAAGAGAGGGCCUUCAUUCCUUGUGUGGAUGCAAAUUUCUUCCUCCUUGAUCUUGGACAAUUUUGCACCUACAAAACAAUUAACACCUUAGGUUAAGGCCAAGAGCCUCACGCGCCCACGAUGAAUGGGGGGGGGGGCUUUGGCCGAAGAAACUCCGAUGCCAAAGUUAGAAUUUAGAGAGAAAGAGUGUUUAGAGAAUUUUGGGAUUUUUGCCAAAGUGUUGGAAUUGGCUUUUUUGGUGAGAAUGAGAGUAUAUUUAUAGGGAUAGGAGGUGGCUAGGGUUUUUUGGGUUUAAUUUAGGUUUAAUUAGGAGUUACAAAAUUGAUUAUUUGUAUAAAUGGGGUAAUAAAGUGGAAAACAUAAAAAAAGGUGAAGAGCAAAGGGUGUGGCCGGCCAUUGACUAGUUUUAGGGUUGAAUUGGAUGUAUUUUUGUGGUUAUUUGGAUAUAAUGGAUGGUUUAAUUGACAAUUAAUGGGUUAAUUAGGCAAUAAACCCAUUAAUUAGCCAAUUAACAUAAUUUAAAAGGAAUGUGUUUGGGGAAUUACCUUGUAGAAAGGAUUUGAUGUGGUUGGAAGAUGAUUGCCACUGCUGCUCGCGCGUAGGAAUCCCGGUAUGCCUCAAGGGUAUUUUUGUCCUCUUUUGUCCAAAAGUCCACGUGUCGCCUAGUGAAUAUUUUUGGCUCCACAAAUGCCCCCACACCUGUUGGGCUGCUCGUAGGAAAGGGCAGCAGGUGUAGAGAUCUUCUUGUUUCAAGAAACGUAGGAUUGCUUCUUAUUUUGAUGUUGAUUCUCUCUUUAAUUGGAAAUUAGGUCCUUCUAGGAAAGGGAAAUAAAUUUCUCUCAAAGCCUAUUUAAGUCCACCUUAAGUGGGUUAUUAAAUCAACUUUGGAGAGCGAUUUAUUCUACCCUACAAGAGAGAGAUAGCUUAGAGGAUAUUUGUUCCCCCUCCUCUAGCAAUCUUCUACAUCUUGCCCAUGCAAAUGACCGUCUUUCGUUGCUUUCUUCGUCUUCUUCGUGCCGCACCAAUGUAAGAAAAAUUUAAUUUUUCUUGCCUUAUUCUUGGAUAGUGCUAUUGCGGGGUAGCCGUCGGGGUGGUGCGGCACGUCGGCUGGCAGGGGCCAGGAGCUGGCUCGGCAUGAGCUGAGGAGAUGUCGAGGCAGGGACCACUGCUUGGGCAGCUUGGCUUGGCUUGAGCCAAGGGCAGCUUGUGCAGCUGGGGUCGAGGAUUGUGGUGCUAGGGCACAGUGUUAGGCGAGCCGCAUGGCUCAUGUCAUUUGGGCUCUUAGACCUGACUCGGGGCAGGCUGGCGAUUGAGAGACAUAAGGAGAUUGCGGGUCUCAUGGGCUGCUGGAAUGUUGGGCAUGCAGGCAUUCUGCCUGCUGGAAUGCUGGGUUGAGCUCCCCUGCUGAGUACCAUGAAUGUCGUUGGCUGCUUAGUCUUCUUUGCUGAAAGAAAUGUGGGCUGCUCCAGAAAGAUAAGGUAAAGAGGAUCAAGGCGGAUGCAUUGGCUCGUCUGAUCGCUGUCGUGGAGCUUACUAUGAAUGAAGAUGGAAAGAAGAGAUCUUCCUCGCCUGCUCAUGAGAUGCCUAGUUAAGAAAAAACUGAAGACUUAUUCUGUUGCUCAUGAGGGUCCGCUUGCUACCGAGAGGUAUGUGAUUGACAUGACUUCUUCUAAUGGGAAGAAAAAUAAGGCUGCUAGAUCUGAGCAUGUGGCGUCUUCCAUGUUGAGAAUGGCUAGUACAAUUAUGGAUAAGAUUGCUCAGCAUAAAGGUUUUAUCAUGCCUCCAGUGCCGAAGUCUGUACCAGGACGUUCUUUGGGAGCCAAGUCCGGUUCACCUUUGUAGAGACUUGCUAUUAUGAAGAGUGGUAAGGUGGACUCUGCUGCUAAAGUGGCGCCAAAGCUUGCUCCCUUUGCUGCUGAGAUUGAUUCACCUCAGAUUCAAGAUCUUAAGCUUGCAAUUUCUGAGCUUCAUUUCGCUACUUAUGCUAAGAAGAGAGUGGAUGAGCUGCAACGCGUCCGUGUUAGUCUGCUUAAGAAGAAUGAGCAACUGAAGGGUGAGAAUGAUGGGCUUGAGGUUUUAAGACCUUCUCUAUUUCUCCGGAAGACUUGCUUGCUUUUACUUUUAAGGCUUCCAUUGGUGAAGUAGUUGGAGAAGUUAGUGCCCAGACUGGGGCAGCCAGGGGUGAAGCGUCGGAUGAUGCCGCUGCUAAGAGUGUUACGGCUGUUGAAGGUGUGGCGACCGAGUAGUCGUGGCAUGUCCAAGCUGCUGUAGUGUAGUAUUUUAGGUAGCCUUUAGGAUUUUCUUUGUUUUUCCUUGUAGCUUUUGUUUUGCUUGAACUCCUUCGGCCUUUGCUAGUUGUUUAUAAACAUGUUUUCCUUCGUUUUUCUUCAUCUUCACUUCUUUUGUUCAUGCCCUAACCUUUAGACUUGAUAGACCAGUGGCAGGCAUGCUACUUUUUUAUAAGCAGACAAACUCGCGUAGCCUAUGCAGCCGUAGGUGUUGGUGUAGAACUUUGCAAAGUUGUUAGCUAUAGGGUUGGCAGCCGGAUGCCUUACUUACAGAAGCAGACAAGUCCGCGUAACCACUAGGCUGUUAACCUUGACUUUCUUCAAUUCCGUAGGUUGCGUAGCAAGUAUCACAACACUUUAGGACUUGGGUGAAGCUUAUCGACUACGUAGCAUGUCGGCAGUGGAUAAAACUUCGUAUAUGCGCGCUAGUUUGUUUAACCUUUCACAAGAAUGUGCGGUUGUAUAAGUCUAGUGCGGCUUCACUGCUCGAAGGGCAAGCCGUAGGCAGUCUUCCGGAAUCCGUAGGCUACCUUAGUGCCUCGGUAGCAGCUUUAGGAUUCCAGGGCAGCCGUCCAUCGGAUGUACUGCGUAAUGUGCCAUCUCCGUCUCUAGGGCCCGGUUCCCUACGGAUUAGGCCAAGAGACCCAAAAUCCUUCAGUUAGCUAAGCCUUGAAAAAGACCAUUGCGGCUACUUCUAGGAAUCCCGGCGCAAGCCAUCGUGCAUCUAGUUAUACUAGGGCAGCCAGGCUCAUCCACGUCUGGAUAUUCGGAGUGUAAAGUUUAUCCUCCCGUCUUGGAGAGCUGACCCAUAUGGGUGUCGGAGAAUUGGUUUACCCUCUCGCACUGGAGAGCAUGGUUGGUCCCUCGGGGGGCGCAAUUCCUGCGAUGAGUCCCUAAGAAGGGCGUAGUCUUCUUUUGAAGUGCAGGAGUGAUUAGUUGUUGUAAGCAUGCAGCCAAGCCAAGUUGUGAUUACUUCUAAAUUCCUCAUUGAAAAACGAGUGAAACGAAUGAGAACUUUAGCUGUAAGGUAGGAACUGCAUAACAACUGGAUAGUCCUCAGCUUGUGAGGUGGUGCCCGUCGAGCUUAUUGAGUCUUCGGGUUUUGAUGUAGCGGGAGGUCACACAUGGUACUUCUUCAGAUUGUAGGUCAUCCAUUUCUUUUCAAUCUUUUUACCGCUUCAUGGUGGUGAGGGUGUAAUUACUCUUGCCCCCUACUCUGUUGAUCUUGUACGGACCUUCCCAGAUGGGAUCCAUCUUUUUGGAGCCUUCUCUGCCGGCAGUGAUGAAGGUUUUUCUGCGUCGUCGACAUGCAAAUGCCAGAAGUCUCCAUCGGGUGGAGUAGGCGCAGCUAGAGUGUGCUCGGCUACUUCUGAGGCAUCGUUGGGCCGCUCUGUUACGUCACCUAGGCUCGGCGUGAAGAUGCAGUAGGGAGCUAUGGAGAUGGGGCCAUGUCAUUCGCAACAGGAGAUGCUCAACUGCCGGUAUUGGGCCACUCUAGAGUUGAAUCAUUGAGCAAGGGUCGGCUAGGGCCGUGUGAUGCGCAGCAAGAAAUGGUACUCAACUGCCGGUACAUGUUGCUCCUAUGUAGAAUCUUUUAGGGUGACGAGGACAAAACUUGCUUUCGAGUGUGUCCUUCCAGUGUUGCGUUCGUCAGAAAACUUUACAUCCGCCAGGGUCUACGCCUUUAUCGUCGCGCGUCUGGAUUGGGCAGAAUAGUACGUCAUUAGGAUAAUUGCAUGCGUUUGAAAGUAAAACUUGUGCUUCUGGGUUGCAACAACUAUCGCCAAAGUUAGCUUUUGAAUUUUUAAUAACAUCGAGGAGAGCUUUUGAACUGUAGAAUACAGGUAACUGUGGAAUACAGGUAGUCGGGCCCCCAUCUCUUCUCGCAUGAUGGUAGAGCUUAUUGCUACUUUAGAUACCGUCAAACAUGUGAAUAAGUCCUCCGCUGCUUCUAGGGAGGUGAUGUCGGGUACUUCUUCAAGUCCUUGAAUGUGCAUUGGCGAGCCUCAUCCCAAAGUGCAUACUUCUCUGCCAAAGCAAAAGAGUCUGCCAGAGUUAGAUCUUCUUUCAUGAUCAAUUUUCCGAAUAGCGGGUGGUCUGCUGGAAGUCCUUUUUGGAAGGCUGCUCUAGCUAUCGAGUCGUUGCAUCCGACUAUUUUUGCCUUCUCUACUUUGAACCUCCUCACAUAGUCGCGAAGUGACUCCUUUGGGUUCUUCUUGACGUUGAACAAAUGAUCAGAUUUCUUUUUUAUCGAGCGAUAGGAUGAAUAUUCUUUGGUGAAAACCAAAGAAAGUUCGUAGAAAUUCCGGAUGGAUUGUGGCGGCAGGGUGUAGAACCAAUCUUGCGCCUCGCCUUGUAGAGUGGUGGCGAAUAUCUUGCACAUAAGCUCAUCGUUGUUUCGAUAAAGGAUCAUUGCGCUUCGGUAGCGCUUUAAGUGUCUCUCCGAGUCUUCAUCCCCUUUGAAAGAUGUGAAAUGUGGCAUGCUGAACUCUCGUGGAGGCUCUGCCUGCUCGAUCUCGUCCGUAAAGGGUGACCUGCUUAUGUUGGUCAUGUUCCAUCGUAGUGCCUCGUCGGUGACCUCGUUGCAUUGGAAAUCAUGCAAUCGCUUGGUCAAGAGUCUCUCUACUUCUUCCUGAAUUUGCCUUUGUUGGGGUAGCGGAGCUUUCGGCUGCCCCCAGCCAUGACUUGGUGGUCUAUACUGCUCUUCCAUGUGUUUAGCUCGUCUACGCCACAGAUGCAAUGCAUGUGGUGCGUUCCUAGCAGGCGAGCGAGUUCUUCGCAGGCUGCUGGUUGAACUUGAGCUGGAUUGAGUGACUGCCUCUUUCCGUCCGUCGUGCUGCCUACUCUGAUGUGAGGUGGAUGAUGCUCCUUGUGGGCUUAGCCGCGAAUGAACACUUUGUCCGGAAGGUUGCUCAUGUUGACUAUCGGAGUGUGACCCCAACCGUGAAUGUAUGCUCAUCCGUGGGCCUAGUCGAGAGUACACGCUCCUCCGGGCGCUAAGACGGGAGUAUACGCUAUCUCGGGGGCCCAAUCGGGAAUGUAGACUGCCUGAACGUUCGGCUCGUGGCUGGUCGAAUGGCUGCUUGCCGGGACGCUGCUGGAAAGGUUCGUCUGCCCUUGUCCUACUUCGGGAUACCUCGUCCAGGGCACGUUGGAUCCCGAUGCGUUGCAAAAGUUGAUUCACCAAAGUUGUCUGUUGUGCAAGGGUGCUCGUCAACUCUAUGACUUGUCGAGACAAGUGUUGUUCGCCAUUUGGAUUGGAAGAGCUUGGAAGGAAUGCGCCUCCUUGGGCAGUGGAAAUGUGGUAGACUCCGGGUGCGAGAUUUGAAUUGGGAAAUGUCAAAUCCGCGAAAAAAUAUGGUGAGAAUGCCCCCGGCUCGAUGGUAGGUCCGGAUGGUUGAGAUAGUCUUGGGUCGACUUGGGCUGCUUGGAAAGCCACUGGAGCAUGAUGGGCUGUGAGAGUGGGCUGCUCGUCGGGAGCAGGCUGGGUCACGAGAGCAGGCUGCUUGGCAGGAGCAGGUUGGGCCGUGAGAGUGGGCUGCUCGACGGAAGCAGGCUGAACCACGAGAGUGAGCUGCUCGUCGGGAGCAGGCUAGGUCACGAGAGCAGGCUGCUUGGCAGGAGCAGGCUGGGCCACAGGAGUGGGCUGCUCGACGGAAGCAGGCUGGACCACAGGAGUGGGUUGCUCGUCGGGAACAGGCUGGGUCACGAGAGCAGGCUGCUUGGCAGGAGCAGGCUGGGCCACGGGAGUGGGCUGCUUGGCAGGAGCAAGCUGGGCCACCGGAGUGGGCUGCUCGACGAAAGCAGGCUGGGCCACGGGAGUGGGCUGCUCGUCGGGAGCAGGCUGGGUCACGAGAGCAAGCUGCUCGGCUGGAGCAAGUUGGGCCGUGAGAGUGGGUUGCUUGACGGGAACAGGCUGGAUCACGGGAGCAGGCUGCUCAAUGCGCGGUGUAUAUGAAUGCGAGGCUUGGGCUUGGGUCCACGUAAACUUAGAUGGCACGGCUUGGAUCGUGGUCUUGGUACCGUGAGCCUUGGAUGGCACGGCUCGGGUCGUGGUGAAGGCUCCAUGGACCUCGCCACGAGUGGCUACCGAAGUAGCCACCGCGGUGGUUCCCAUAAUGGCCAUGGUGAAGGCACCAUGGACCUCGCCGCGGGUAGCUACCGAGGUAGCCACCACGGUGGUUCCCAUGGUAGAAGCUUGUGGUGAUGAUGCCGCUCCCCUUAUUGUCGCAUUUUGCCUCACGGAUCUCCGGGCCGUGGUGAAGGCUCCAUGGACCUCGCCACGAGUGGCUACCGAAGUAGCCACCGCGGUGGUUCCCAUGGCGGCCGUGGUGAAGGCACCAUGGACCUCGCCGCAGGUGGCUACCGAGGUAGCCACCACGGUGGUUCCCAUGGUGGAAGCUCGUGAUGAUGAUGCCACUCCCCUUAUUAUCGCAUUUAGCCUCACGGAUCUCCGCAAUCCCAUUUCUUGAACAUUAGAAUUUUCACUUGUGGAAUUUUCUAAAUUUCUAGCCAUUAUAUUUUGCUUAUACGUUUUAUCAAAGAACCUUUGCAAGUAAAAAAUUCUAAUAAUAAGAACGUAUGAAAAAUAUUCAAAUGGACUAGAAAAUAAAGAAAAAACUUUUUUGUGCGAGAGUCUUCUACAAGUAUGGAUUUCAACUCUCAAUGAAAGCACCAAUUUGUGGAUGCAAAUUUCUUCCUCCUUGAUCUUGGACAAUUUUGCACCUACAAAACAAUUAACACCUUAGGUUAAGGCCAAGAGCCUCACGCGCCCACGAUGAAUGGGGGGGGGUUUGGCCGAAGAACCUCCGAUGCCAAAGUUAGAAUUUAGAGAGAAAGAGUGUUUAGAGAAUUUUGGGAUUUUUGCCAAAGUGUUGGAAUUGGCUUUUUUGGUGAGAAUGAGAGUAUAUUUAUAGGGAUAGGAAGUGGCUAGGGUUUUUUGGGUUUAAUUUAGGUUUAAUUAGGAGUUACAAAAUUGAUUAUUUGUAUAAAUGGGGUAAUAAAGUGGAAAACAUAAAAAAAGGUGAAGAGCAAAGGGUGUGGCCGGCCAUUGACUAGUUUUAGGGUUGAAUUGGAUGUAUUUUGUGGUUAUUUGGAUAUAAUGGAUGGUUUAAUUGACAAUUAAUGGGUUAAUUAGGCAAUAAACCCAUUAAUUAGCCAAUUAACAUAAUUUAAAAGGAAUGUGUUUGGGAAUUACCUUGUAGAAAGGAUUUGAUGUGGUUGGAAGAUGAUUGCCCACUGCUCGCGCGUAGGAAUCCCGGUAUGCCUCAAGGGUAUUUUUGUCCUCUUUUGUCCAAAAGUCCACGUGUCGCCUAGUGAAUAUUUUUGGCUCCACACCUUGCAUCUUAGAUCUAUGGAUUUGGAUGGAUGAAAUGGUUCUCCAAGUUCCCAAAAUUGAGAACCUCUAAGUCUCUUCACCAAGGUUAGAUUGGAGAAGAAAUGAGUGACCUUGGAGUAGUAUGAUUACUAGCUAAACUCUCCAAGGAGGCCGGCCACUUUAGAGAGAAAGGAGAGCUUAUGUUCUCAUCCUUUCCCCAAAAGAAAACCCUAAAUGAAUUUUGGCUAUAAAGUCAUAUUUAUACUUUUAUUCAUUGGAGUGGCAAACUUGUAAUUAAGUCCAAAACCCACUCCUUUAACAAAAUGGCCGGCCAUAGGGUUUCAUUGGGGUUUUAAGGCCUUUGUGAAUUAUUUGUCAUUAAGUAAUCAUACAACUUAAGUCAAUGGGCUUGACGUUCGAAGCUCAUUGGGCCUUGAGGCCCAAAACUAUCCCGAGGUCUUUAACGAACUUAUUCGUUGAUUAAUUAACAUAUUAAUUAAUCCUUGCCAUAAAUAAUUAAACCAUUUAAUUAUUCUUACUCAUCUCCAUUGUUUCUUCAAUCUCCACCUUACACGGUGUACGAUCCAUUAGGUUCCUUUUAGCGAGGCAGUGGGCGAUUAAAACCAUUUCAAAUCGAUUGUGAAUUGAAACUUACUUUCAAUUCUCCCUUUAGUGAUUAUACACGUUUAGGGCUUCCACAAACCAUGAGUGACACCUAGCAGCAUAUCAUGGUUACCCAAGCUAAUCAGAAGAGGUGAAGAACCUAUUCAGUUUGGGAUUACAAAUGCAAUACGGUCUUUCUCUAAUACAAUACUCUUGACCACAUUGUUUGGUUUGAUAGUUUAUUCAUGUCUACUAUCCAAUGUGAUUCGUGUGCUUAUAUGAUUACCUUGAAUGUGAUUUGGAACGACUUCCUAAAUCUCAUUCAUACUCUGGCCAGAGAUUCUUAAUCAUAUCAUAGAGUAUUCUCCCCUAAAUGGUUUGAAGGUUAGAGAUCCCUUGUUGCGCAUUCACUUGCCUCCAUGGCUAAGUGGCUUAACCCCGACGAUGCCGUGGACACCCGCGGAUGGGGUGACUUUGACAUAAUCAAAGAUCAAUGACCUAACCACAAGACAACUAUGAUGCCUCAGGUCAAAGGACUACUUUGCAUUAUCCCAACCAUGAGUUCUCAUGUGACAUGAGUAUGAGAAUUCUUCGUUGAUCGUGUUCAGUGAACUCAUUCCUUAUUGAGCACCUACGUACUUGUCUUGGUGUCAGUCACACCAAUGACUCGAGACUAGUCACUCUCCCUGAGAGAAGACAUAGCACAUACUGAUUUUAACGGACUGUCAAUGCCCAAUUGGCAAUCCUAUGAUCAGGAACGUUUAGGAUAUGUAUACGAAAGAGAAUGGUCUCAUAAAUCUAACUUGUUUAAAUUACAUUCUCCUAAUUACAUAUUCCUUGGACUUAUCAUUUAAGCAUAUAACAUUUAUAUGAGACGGCUUAAAACAAUAAUCUAUGCCCUUGAUAUUAAACUAGAUUAGUUUAACAUGUGAAAUGUCCGUAAAGUAUCAUCAUAUGAUUGGUUUUAGGGCACAUUUCCAACAUCUCCCAACGAAGAGAACUAAGCAACCAACACCAUUCACAAUACUCAAUAGGGGAACUCAACCCAUACUGGUUUUUCCCUCAUUUUUUCUCUUGGACCAGUAGGCAUGAGGCAUGCGACCUCUUCAUUUCUCUCAAUCGCUGACCUGGCCCACGUUAGGUCCAAGAGUUCAAAGGACAUGAGCCAUGCGGCUCGUCUAACACUGCACCCUAACGCCACUAUCCAUGGCCCCAGCCGCAUAAGCUACCCUUGUCUCUAGCCAAGCCGAACAACCCAAUCAGUGGUCCUUGCCACAACACCUCCUCAGCCCAUGUGGAGCCAACUUCUGGUCCUUGUCAGCCAACGUGCCGCACCACCCCGAUGGCUGCCUCGCAACAGUAUUAUCCAAGAAGAAGACAAGGAAAUUUAAAUUCUUCUUACCUCGAUGCGGUGCGGAGAAGACGAGGCAAGCAACGAAAGAUGAUCCUUUGCAUGGGCAAGAUGUAGAAGAUUGCUAGAAGAGGGGGAACAAAUAUCCUCUAAGCUUUCUCUCUCUCUUUUAGGGUAGCAUAAAUCGCUCUCCAAAGUUGAUUUAAUAAUCCAGUUAAGGUGGACUUAAAUAGGCUUUGAGAGAAAUUUAUUUCCCUUUCCUAGAAGGAUCUAAUUUCCAAUUAAAGAGGGAAUCUACAUCAAAACAGGAAACAAUCCUAAGUUUCCCAAAGCAAUAAGAUCUCUACACCUACUGCCCUUUUCUGCGAGCAGCCCAACAGUUGUGGGGGCUGAUAGGAUUUUUACCACCUACAGAGAAGGGUUAAAAACACCUAAAAUACUUGCAAGAGAAACAAGGUUAUUGUAGUAUAAUUGGCUCAAGUAAGGUCGUUCUCCACAAGGAUUAAUUUAAAAAGAUCAAAGAGAAAUCAAUUCUCAACUAAUUAAUUAAAACAAAGUUUUUGAAAGAGGUGAUUUAAUGACCUAAAUUAAGAAAAAAAUGAAUUUAAUUAAAAAGAUUACUUAAAAACUGCAACUUUAAAGAAGGAGAAUGAAACAAUUUUUAGAAUUCAAAGUGAGAAAUUACUAAGGUUCCGUCGUCACCCUAACAAUCCUAUGUAGCUCUUUUAAUUACUUAUGAACCAUACAUGCAUAUUUUGAAGGUUAGGUUUUCCUAAAGUAUAUCCUACUUGGAACUUCCAACAUAUAACGUAUAUCUAACAUACAACCCGUCCGUGGUGUCUAGAUCGAAUGUGAACAUGCAAGACUCAUUAAGUUUUAUGAAAACCUUUUGAAAAACCAUAUAACCCUUAAAACAUGUCGUCCAUCCUAAGAGGUUACACAUAUUAACCACAAGAAGCCUUAGUCAAUUUUAGGGACAGCCCUCUGCCAAAAUUGCAUCAAAUUACUUUUCUAAAUAUCCUAAUGGUCGCGAAUCACUAAGACAAAUAAAUAGUUUAAACCGGUGAUUAACAAUUCAAAACUUACAUGCAUGAAUUCAUAAGCAAAUUAAAAAAGGGACUACAUAUUCUUACUAAGGAUCAUGGCCUCACCCUAACAAAGAAGAUUAGUUACGCAUAUUCAUACUAAAAAUCAUAAAGUCUUUAUUGAAAUAGAAAAAGAAUGAAAACACCUUGAAAGUAUAAGUCCUGAAAUCUCUAAGCUUUGCCCCCAAAAUAUUCUUCCCAAAAAUUGCAUGCCUUCUAGAGAAACCCUAGGUCUGCCAGAAGGCUUAUUUAUACUACUCUAAUUAAAAUCCUCCUAGUCAAGGUCUUAGAAUAAGACUAUGAAACUAAAUCAAUUGAAACAAAAUAGGAAACAUAAUUCUGAAUUGACUGGGUAAAUUCGCCCAAAAUUCUGCACAGCCACGGUUUGGACCCAUAUUAUCUGCAAAACUAGCCCAAAAUUGCUAGAUUUAAAGCUUGGAUUAUUCUGAACACUUCUCCAGAAGGCCACGAACCCAUCUGACAUCAUCUUGGGCUUCAAAAACUGCUUUUAAGCCCAAAAAACUUUCCAACAACGCGCACUGCUCCUUUAUUUAAUUGCCAAAAAGUAACCGCUUGAUAGAAAUUGCUGAAAUUUUGAUAAGAAUAUGCCAAGAGACACCCGAACGUCCUCCAAUUUUGUUUGUUUGAGUACGUUUUCUCCGAAAGAAGUCGAAUGUCCUAUGUUAAAAAUAUGAAACAAAGUAUCAAAAUUUUACCAAAGUAAUUACCAAAUUAUACUAAGAAUAGGAUGAAAUAUAUAAUAUAAUAUUGACUCAUCAGGGUCAUUUGUGGAGCCAAAAAUAAGCAAGAGGCAAUAUGUGGAUUUUUGUGUUAAAAGGACAAAAUUACCAUUGAGGCACAUCGGAAUUCCUACGCACGAGCAGUUGACAAUCAUCCCUCAAUCAAGUCAAAAGUACCCAAAUAGGUAUUUAUUUAUAACCUAUUUCAUCCAUCCCUCAUCAUAUAUUCUCCACAAGGUAACCCCUAAAUCAUUCCUUUUUUAUUAUAUUAAUUAGCUAAUUAAUUGAUCAAUUAUUCAAUUAAUUUGCUAAUUAAACACAAAUCACGAACUUGACCCAUAAAUCCAUCCAAGUGGCUGGUCCAUCUCCUCCCAAGGUGGCUAGCCACACCCCUAUAUAAACACCCUCAUUCUUUCCAAAACUCAAUUCCAAUUCUCUUGCUAAAUUCUCCAAACAUUUUUCCCUCAAAAUUCUAACUUUGGCAUCAGAGGUUCUUCAGCCAAAACGCCCCCCCCCCCCCAAUUCAUCUUGGGCACGUGAGGCGCUUGGCCUUAACCUAAGGUGUUAUUUAUUUUGUAGUUGCAAUUUUGUCCAAGAACAAGGAGGAAGAAAUUUGCAUCCACAAUUGUGUUUUUAGUUUUUAGCAAAGAUUAAGAUUUGUGUGGGUGGAGAUAUUUCUUUUUUUUCUUCACAUAAUUCAAAAUUAAAAUGGAAGAGGAAGAUAGGGUUUGUGUGGGUGUACACAUACCCCUCUUUAGUUCUUACCAAAAUUACGGUUUGUGCAGGUGUAGAUAAUUUUAAUUAGGAUUUUUUUUUGAAAUGUCAUAUGAACUUGUACGCAUUUUAAUUUGUCAUAUAAGCUAAAAUUUUAAGCAAUUUGUCAUGCCAACAUUUUGAAAUCAUUAAUUUGUCAUCUCUCUUUAACUCCAUUAAGUUUUCCAUCUAAUAUAGGUCAUGUGCCUAGCACAUGACUUGUGUUUAGGGUUAUUUCGAUCCUUUUAAUACUUUACUUCCUUUUUAUUAAGUUAUUUCUGAAUAUUCCAAAUAUAUAGUGAUACACAAGUGAGAGUUUGCAUUUUAGCAUGUCAUGAAGACAUAAUUUCAUACGGGCUCUAUAAAUGAGAAAUAAGUUGUGCCAUAAAUUGAGUUGUAGAUGCAUAUGCGCUAAAGAAAAUUAAAAAAUUUAAAUGUUUGUAGUAAAGAAAAGUAAAAGCCUUGUGAAAAGAUGUUAAAAUGACCUAAAUAACCCCGAACACAAGUCAUAUGAAAGGAUCAUGACUUUUAUUGGAUGGAAAACUUAACGCAGUUAGGGUGAGAUGACAAAUUAAUAAUUUUGUAAAGUUGGUGUGACAAAUUGCUUAAAAUUUUAGUUUAUACGACAAAUUGAAAAAUAUGAACAAGUUCAUAGGACAUUUAAAAAAAAAAUCCCUUUUAAUUAGUAUCGAACUCGUCGUCCACGAGAUUCGAAUUUAAGACUUUUCACUUAUAAAGAAACAAUCAUUAAACUGUAGUAUUAAAUGACAAAAUUCUUUUUCUUUAGUGCGUUAUAUAUAAACAAACUCAAUUCGUGGAUUUACUAGGGUAAUAUUGCUCUUUGCCCCAUGAGCUUUCGACAAAUAGUCAUCAAGUCAUUUCAUCAUAUGGAUAACUAAAAUGAAAAAAACAAAGGAACAACUACCAACAUAAAGACCAAACUCACACAACAUACGCACAACACUGCAUUUGUACACAAAGCCCUCAUAUUUUCAUUACACUCAUAUUUUAAUUAAUACUUAUUAGGCCAUCUCCAACCGAAGGGUCCAGAGGGCCAGAGGGCCGAAAAUAGCCCUAAAACCGUCUCCAACCGAGGGCUAGGUCAGAGGGCUCUGGAAUCUGGGAGGGUCCCACGGGAUCGGAGAGGGCUGGAGGGCUGGAGGGCUGGCUGCUUUCGGCCAGCCAGCCAGCCCCGGGCUGGCUAUUUUUUUUUUUAAUGUUUCUCAUUUCUGUCGGUUAUAACCGACAGAAAUAACAAUUUGAAUUUAAACUUCCAACGGCUAGCGCCACUAGCCGUUGUAAACCUUUUUUUUUUUUUUUAUGAAUUUAAACCUUUUUUUUCUUUUUUUUUCUAUAACUUCCUAUAACUUCUAUUUUACAAAAUUUGUUUCAAUUUUUUUAUUUCUAUUUUUUUCCUAUAACUUCUAUUUUACAAAAUUUGUUUCAUAUUUUUUUUUUAAAUUCCAUUUUUUUCCUAUAACUUCUAUUCACAAAAUUUGUUUCAUAUUUUUUUUAAAUUCUAUUUUUUUCCUAUAACUUCCUAAGCCAUUAUACAACAUUAAAUUAAAUUAAGUAACAUGAAACAACAUUAAACAAUAUGAAACAACAUUAAAUAACAUUAACCAACAUAAAAAUUAUACAACACUAACCAACAUGAUUUUUAAAUAAAAUUAAGUUGUAGUUUUUAAAUAAUAAAUUAUGUUUGGCUCUAUGGCCCUUUGGCCCUCGGUUUAGACGGUUUUUUGUGACAGGGCUAAAACGAGCCCUCUGGCCCUCGGUUGGAGACGGAGGCAAAUAUGGUCAUGUACUGUUCAUUAAAAUAUUAAUAUCUUUGAGAAUCUUGGAGGGCCAGAGGGCUAAAACGAGCUCUCUGGCCAGCCAUCGGUUGGAGAUGGCCUUAGGCAAUAUGCAUCGUGGCUUGGUUAUCGCUGAUGAGAGACAAUGGUGAGCUGUUGGAGAUUCCCAAAUCACAUAGAAGUCCUUUGGGCCAUAUGAGUUCACAUGUUGUUGAUGUCAUGUGGGAGCUAAGCAACACCAUUUAAUAUAAUGGUUUUUGGUGUGUUUGUGAAUUUUUAAUCCUGAGGAGAUUCAUGUGGUUAUAUUUUGUUGUACAUUGAACUUACACAUGGUCACCAAAUGACAUCAUCUCUAAGCCUGUUAAUUUCCAUCUAUGGCAAUAGGAGGACCGAUAUUCCUUCAUUCCACUAUUUUCCACAAGAUAAAGUGAGACAUACUUUUCGACUAAAUGGUAAAACUUUGAGGGUUGAAUUAGAAGAACUUUAAUAAAAAACUUCUGGUACUGUUCAUUUUAACGAAAAAUUACAUUUUUACACUAAAAAAUUAAUCCAAGUAUUAUUCACUUUACUCUUUAUUUUGUCCUUAUCUUUAAAACUCAAAGUUUUCAAAUCCCUUUAUUAGUUUUCCUUUGAAUUAAAUUGCCCGCACUGAUUUGGAAAACCUAAACGUUGACUGACUGAGAGGGCAGAAGACAAGUUCUAAGCACCCGACUUGUACCAUCUGUCAUUGGUUUUUGUGCACUUUAUAUUAGUGAUGAUAAUUAAGGUGCUUAUUCCACCACCACAACCAAACAAGGAUAGAUAAUUUCUUUAUUCUGUUUUUAUUCAUUGAAGUAGUUUUUUGUUUCGAUUUAAUUAAUAGGAACAAGGCAUAACUAAAAUUUUGUCAAAUGACAUGACCAAGUGAGUUUUCUUAACCAACCGUGUGGAGUCAACAAAUUUAUGUCAAAUUGCGUGUUUUCAAAGUUAUCAGUUCAAUACAAAAGUUAAGUUAUUAGACUGCAUGAUAGGGUAUGCAGAUUUUUUUUUUUUUUUUAACAAAUAGGGUAUACAAAUUUAAUCUAAACUACAAAAAAAAUGAUGCAAAUAAAAGAAAAACUAUGCUCUAACGUACCUGCAGGUAGUCACUUAGAAUCGAAUGAAUGUGUUGAAUACGUUGAAACCUAAACUAGAUCACUUAUGGUUCAUUAUGAAACCCUAGACUUUCAUCGUUUUUCAAACCUCUUUCCAAUUGUUACCGAAAAGAAAAGAAAAAACCUCAUUCCAACCUUUUCAUCUCCUACUUCUUGUUUAAGUUUAUGUUUUGCUUUUUUCGCUUAAAAGAUUUUUGAUACGGCCGGAUCCCGAUAUUUCCCAAAUACCAGGAUAGGUACGUGCUGGCAGACACUCAAGGAUGACGAAAGUCAUUUAUUGAGUGCAAAAGCUGAAAACAAGGGAUAAAUAAGACUUAUAAAUAUAAAAGAAUAAAGAAUAUGCAUUUAAGGAAUGUGUCCAGAGCAUACAACUAAUUAGAACACUAAUAGAAUUAAUAUAAAAUUGAAUGAAUAAAAGAAUGGGUCCUACACCGAUAGGACUUGAAGACGCCAAUGCAGAAGUGCCUUGACGCCGAGAUUGUAUGUCUUGCUUCUAAGUCCUGAAGGGGGCGCAAAACAAACAUGAGUGAACCAAGUUGAUAUAUAUAUACUAAAACAGUUAUCAACGUACUAACCCCAGGUUUUAUGAAAACACAUAUAUAUCAUGAUAAACAUAGGUUUUCCAAAACCUAGCUUGUCGUGCAAUGUCUCAAACUAUAACUCGUAUAUAUAAUAAUCACUAAUAAAUGUCCAAUAUCUCUCCAAGCCCCAUGCCGGCUCCCCGUCACUGAGCAGACAAUCAGAGGAAAAUUACCCCCAAGUCCCAUGCCGGCUCCCCGUCUCUGUGCUAAAUAGCUAGAGGAAACACACUCUAGGCCCUAUGCCAACACCAAACCGUCUCCUGGGACGGACCGGGAUCUAUCCCUAUGUCUCGUAGCGGAAUAAGGACCAUUAGGUAAGUACAAAACCAUUGAACAUAUAUAUAUUGAAAAGCAACUUCAUAGUAUAAAGUCAUCCAUCAUCUAUAUUAUAAAGAGGUGUUCGAAACAUAUUCUAAAUAUCAUAUUGUCAUCUAUCGGAUAUUCUAUAAGAACACGGGUUAUAGGAAAAAUAAUAGUAAUUCAAUCUAGCCUCAGUAAGCAUGUUAUCUCAAAGCGUUUCAUAGAACAUAAUCAUUAAAUCAUGUUUUUCAUGUAUGCAUUUCUAUUAUCAAAACAUGCAUUUUUAGAAGGGGUCCACUCACAGAUACUUAGCCGCCGAAGAGCCACGCAAACUAGCGGAGACAGAACGCCACCAUAAUUGCCCCUAAACACAUACAGUGUACAUUUGGUCAAAAUCUACUCAAACGACUUAAUUUGGGAAAACGGACAACCUCGAAAUUAGCCUAGGAAGGGUCCUGGACGAAAACCUAAAAAAGUCAACGGUCAAAUUCAAAGUCAACGCUGACUGUUGACCCGGUCAACGCAGGUCAAAAGGUCUGGGCUUGGGUUGGAUACAGAUUGGGCCAAGGGUUAGUGGACCGGAUCCAUGGCCCAAAGGCCUAAGGUCCAAAUAGGGUUAAAGGGUUAAGGGCUUAAAGGGGUUUUCUGGGUUGGGUCCAAUUGGGUGUUGGGCUUGAGGCCCGUGUCUUAGAUGGCCCAAGGGCCUAGUCAAAAGGGUUUUUGGGUUUAAAACAACGGACCUAAAGCCCUAGGUUUGGCACGGCCCAAAGGGCCUUUAGUUUACUAGACUAAAUUAAAUAAAACAAUUUAUAUUAAAGGGUUGGGCUGGGUUUUCCAACGGGCCCAAGGCCCGAGUUUUAAAAACGGCCCGAAGGGCCUGGGUUCACUUGCUCUCGCCAGGGAAGGAGGCCGGAGCCUUCUGUGCUCCGGUCGACGACACAACGUCACCUUAGGUUCCGAUCUAAGUGCCAAAUUGAAGUACAAGAUUAGAGGAAUGUUUUGUACCUUUAGUUCACCGUGAAAGGACUAGAGGUGGCCGGACUUGGGCUCGUAAACCCACGGCUCGCCGGAAACUGGGUUAAGCACACCCGUGGCGUCUCCGUAUGAUUUCGUCGUCCUAAAGACAUAAUCAAGGUUAGAAUUUGGCAAAAAGGACAAAGAUGAACAGAUUUCAAGGGAACCGAGGCUUACCAGUCAUCAGAAAGGCGAGGAACUUGGCAGAGUUCUUCUGUGCUCCACAGAGGCGAAGAGAGAGAGAGAGAGAGAGAGAGAGCAAACGUGAUGGCGAUGGUGGUGAUGCCGUCGUGUGUAUAUGUGUGUGUGUUGUUUCUCGGGGAGGGAAUGGUGCAGCGAUGAGAAAGGAAAGAGUGAGGUCCGAAAGGGAGAGGGAUAGAAAUGAGACAGAGGGAGCUGGGGGCGAAAGAGAGAAUAGAGAAAGGGAAAGGAAAGGGAACCGGGGGCACAAAUAAAGGGGUGGGCCCCUUGGGCUCACCAAUUAAGACCAAAAAUAUUUUUAAAAACAGGGGUGGGGUGUAACAAUUUUCUUAACUAACUCUCCACAAAUUUCAUUGAUUCAAUAGUUAGGAUGAUUUUAAAGCUUGUUUGCUUAAGUAAUUUUAAUUUAGGUUGUCAAAAUUCAUCUUAAAUAAGAAUAUUAAUUUGUCGGAAUGACGAAUUUGCAAACCACUAUACAUACUACGAAUUGAACUUGCCGAUUCUAGCAACAACUAAUCAAGUAUACACACACUUGCAAUUAAUAAAAAAGAUAGUAUACCUAGCUAAUAACUGAUUCGCUAUGCAGAUUUGUUCUAGAACGCAUGCAGUUUACUCAAAAUAUAAGAUGAAUGAUGAUUGUAUACUUGAAUUAACAUAUAUAAAAACGAGCUUGAAGAUGAACUUAAACGAUAUUGAUUGGAAGGUCAUAUCCAUCAUGAAUGAAAAACGAUGUGAUGUUUUAAGUGUUUACUGCGAUGACGAUCUGGAAGAUAAAGAUCGUUUAUAUAAAUACAUCUGUAUUUGUUUUUUUCCAAGAUGAAUAGUAGGUCAAAUCAUGACUUGAGAUAUAUAUCCUCCUUUGGAGUUUCUCAGUUAGAAAAAUUAUGUACCUAUAGUCGCUUAGAUGAUUAGCCAUUAAACGUCAAUUUUUCCACAUAACCAUAUAAAAGGAAAGUAUGUAGAAAUAUAAUUAAGAACAAUUUUUUAUGAAGCUAUUGUUGCUUGGAUGAUUAGUUAUUAACCUGUUACGAGUGCUUUUUUGUUACAUAAUGCGCACCAUUACAUGUACUGACAAGGCCGUAAUUUUUUUAAGCAAAACGAUAGCUUUUUUUUUUUUUUUUUUGAAAGAGCAAAACGAUAGCUUUUUAUUGAUGAUUAAGCAAUACAAUAUAAAACAGCCCGGAUGAUAUCCGAUAGCUAGCCAACCGAUGUGCCACGACAUUAUUGCAUCACAAACUUAUUGUUCGUAUACUUUAUUGUAAAAACUAGUAGCGAAGGAAACAUAGAUAUACUUCAAUCACGGGCAGAAGACAACCUUGUAGUUAGUUCCAGUAGGGCAUGUAAAUGUACUGGUUGCGUCAUCUUUAGGGUAACUAUAAGCAUCCGGGCACAGAUUCUUAAAAAACCUAGAGAAGUCUGUAGGGUCACAAGUUCCAGAAUUGCUACAAUAUUGAUCAGUCUUGAACACGGUGCAAGGGUUGUUGCACCCUCCUGGAGCCUUCAGUUGGUCAGGGCACUGCCCGUUAAUAUCAGCCGUGCACCUAAUCCCCUUAGUGCACCCACCAGACGUGGGACUAAAGUCCAUAGGUACAUUAAACCCAUCAACAAGAGAAAUGUCAAAGAAAUCCAAGUUGUUAUAUUGAUUAAGGGCAUAUUCAGCUAGGGUGUUUGGUGGUUGACCAUAGCCUUGGCAUUCGAGGACACCCCCACAGUCACCUGUUUGGCAUUGGCCACGUCCUGCUCCAUCGAAGCUGCAUCCCGUUCGAGCCCAAAUGCGAGCUCAUGUGGUACCGGCACUUACAUCUAUGGCCCAGGAUUGGCCUCCGUCGAGUUGGCGACCACCGCCUGGCACAGCAGCUGCCCAUACAGUGUAGGCACAGUUGUUUUGGAUGUCGAAUCGAGCUGCAUUAGUUGAUGCAAAGAAGAGAAUGGCACAUAGGAUGGAGAAAAGUAAGAGGCUUUUAAGGAGGCUCAUUGUGGGAGCUAAGC